GGCGAACGGGUGAGUAACACGUGGGUAAUCUGCCCUCGAUUCUGGGAUAGCCCGGGGAAACCCGGAUUAAUACCGGAUAGCCUCGCUGGUCUUCGGGCCGGCGAGAAAAGGUAGCUUCGGCCUCCGAUCGAGGAUGAGCCCGCGGCGGAUUAGCUUGUUGGUGGGGUAACGGCCCACCAAGGCGACGAUCCGUAGCUGGUCUGAGAGGACGAUCAGCCACACUGGGACUGAGACACGGCCCAGACUCCUACGGGAGGCAGCAGUGGGGAAUCUUGCCCAAUGGACGAAAGUCUGAGGCAGCGACGCCGCGUGGGGGAAGAAGGCCUUCGGGUUGUAAACCUCUUUCAGCAGGGACGAAGCCACUCGGGUGAAUAGCCCAGAGGGUGACGGUACCUGCAGAAGAAGCCCCGGCUAACUACGUGCCAGCAGCCGCGGUAAUACGUAGGGGGCAAGCGUUGUCCCGAUUUAUUGGGCGUAAAGAGCGUGUAGGCGGCCAGACAGGUCCGUUGUGAAAACUAGAGGCUUAACCUCUAGACGUCGAUGGAAACCGUCUGGCUAGAGUCCGGAAGAGGAGAAUGGAAUUCCUGGUGUAGCGGUGAAAUGCGCAGAUAUCAGGAAGAACACCCGUGGCUAAGGCGGUUCUCUAGUACGGUACUGACGCUGAGACGCGAAAGCGUGGGGAGCGAACAGGAUUAGAUACCCUGGUAGUCC
Molecule: ribosomal RNA, 711 nt
Filed under: uncultured bacterium
Lineage: Bacteria
Description: bacterial SSU rRNA
Rfam family: Bacterial small subunit ribosomal RNA
Source: RNAcentral